This 423-nucleotide RNase P RNA is filed under the name Akkermansia sp. RNAcentral's name for it is "RNase P RNA component class A". It matches the Rfam family "Bacterial RNase P class A". Rfam says of the family: Ribonuclease P (RNase P) is a ubiquitous endoribonuclease, found in archaea, bacteria and eukarya as well as chloroplasts and mitochondria. Its best characterised activity is the generation of mature 5'-ends of tRNAs by cleaving the 5'-leader elements of precursor-tRNAs. Lineage: Bacteria; Pseudomonadati; Verrucomicrobiota; Verrucomicrobiia; Verrucomicrobiales; Akkermansiaceae. The record is from RNAcentral.
GGUCAGGUUCGGGUGAUCGCUGUUUCGGGGGGAGCUUCGCUUACCUCGAGGUAGAGGAAAGUCCGGACAUCAUAAGGCAGCGUGUCCUGUGAAAACAGGAGACGAGCUUCUCUCAAGGAGGCUCGGACGGAAAGUGCCACAGAAAAUAAACCGCCCGUGGUAGACAACUGCUCGGGUAAGGGUGAAAAGGGGAGGUAAGAGCUCACCGCUCCGAGGGUAACUAAGGAGGCAUGGUAAACCCCGCGCGAUGCAAGACAAACAGGGGAAGGGUCGCCUGCUCGUUGGAUCCCCGGGUAUUAGUCGCAUCUGCUCUUUAGUAGGAGUAGGCUCGGGUGAGUUUCAAGACUCAUUCCGUGAGAAAAAUGAUCACACAGCCGAUGUCAUAUCGGUGGACAAAAUCUGGCUUAUAGAACCUGACCGGUU